CCUACGGGAGGCAGCAGUGGGGAAUAUUGGACAAUGGGCGCAAGCCUGAUCCAGCCAUGCCGCGUGWGUGAUGAAGGCCCUAGGGUUGUAAAGCMCUUUCAACGGUGAAGAUAAUGACGGUAACCGUAGAAGAAGCCCCGGCUAACUUCGUGCCAGCAGCCGCGGUAAUACGAAGGGGGCUAGCGUUGUUCGGAAUUACUGGGCGUAAAGCGCACGUAGGCGGAUUGGAAAGCCAGAGGUGAAAUCCCAGGGCUCAACCCUGGAACUGCCUUUAAAACUAUCAGUCUAGAGUUCGAGAGAGGUGAGUGGAAUUCCGAGUGUAGAGGUGAAAUUCGUAGAUAUUCGGAGGAACACCAGUGGCGAAGGCGGCUCACUGGCUCGAUACUGACGCUGAGGUGCGAAAGUGUGGGG
This 411-nucleotide ribosomal RNA is filed under the name uncultured bacterium. RNAcentral's name for it is "bacterial SSU rRNA". It matches the Rfam family "Bacterial small subunit ribosomal RNA", at positions 338 to 766 of the family's 1533-position model. The record is from RNAcentral.